UAGUACCUAUCAAUUAUACAUAGUAAAUUCUAUGGGAUAUCGUUUUGUUAUUUUUAAGGUUUUUGCCGAUUCGAAAACACGUAUAGUUUGUACGUGUACAAUUGUCUUGUUUAACAGGCGAUACGGCGUAAACGCGUUCGAGUACAACGGACGUAAAUGCCUUUGAAAUCGGCUUAGAACGACAAAACACCUGUAUUUUAACGUUUUGUAGACUGCGAAAUAUC
Non-coding RNA from Cinara cedri, 224 nucleotides. The record is from the annotation of a GenBank genome assembly. Lineage: Eukaryota; Metazoa; Arthropoda; Insecta; Hemiptera; Aphididae.